Molecule: ribosomal RNA, 120 nt
Filed under: uncultured bacterium
Lineage: Bacteria
Description: partial 16S ribosomal RNA
Rfam family: Bacterial small subunit ribosomal RNA
Source: RNAcentral
GACGAACGCUGGCGGCGUGCUUAACACAUGCAAGUCGAGCGGAAAGGCCUCUUUCGGGGGGUACUCGAGCGGCGAACGGGUGAGUAACACGUGAGUAACCUGCCCUGGACUUUGGGAUAA